RNAcentral lists this unclassified non-coding RNA (577 nucleotides) under uncultured fungus. RNAcentral describes it as "sequence contains ITS1, 5.8S rRNA gene, ITS2". The stretch from base 228 to 381 matches the Rfam family "5.8S ribosomal RNA". Lineage: Eukaryota; Fungi. The record is from RNAcentral.
CAGCGGAGGGAUCAUUACAAGAAGCCGAAAGGCUGCUUAAAACCAUCGCGAACCUAUCCAUCAGCGUUGCUUCGGCGGGAGGAGGCCGUGGGGCCGACGUCUGCCGAGACGCCGGGCCCGGGGCCGGGACCCACGCCUCCCCAGGAGGUGCGGGGCCCGCCCGCCGGAGGUACGAAACUCUUCUGCAUCUAUAGUGGAAUCUCUGAGUAAGCAAGCAAAUAAGUCAAAACUUUCAACAACGGAUCUCUUGGUUCUGGCAUCGAUGAAGAACGCAGCGAAAUGCGAUAAGUAAUGUGAAUUGCAGAAUUCAGUGAAUCAUCGAAUCUUUGAACGCACAUUGCGCCCGCCAGUACUCUGGCGGGCAUGCCUGUUCGAGCGUCAUUUCAACCCUCAAGCCCUCGCUUGGUGUUGGGGCUCUGCGGCUGCCGCAAGCCCUGAAAUGGAGUGGCGGGCUCGCGGCGACUCCGAGCGUAGUAGAAUCCUAUUCUCGCUAGGGAGGCGCGGCGCGCUCCGGCCGUUAAAGAUCUCUUAAUACAAGGUUGACCUCGGAUCAGGUAGGAAUACCCGCUGAACUUAA